GGUCCAGACUACCGAGCCUGAUCAGCAUGCCGCGUGUGUGAAGAAGGCCUUCGGGUUGUAAAGCACUUUYAUCGGGAACGAAACGUCGUCGGCCAAUACCCGGCGAAACUGAUGGUUCCCGAGGAAUAAGCACCGGCUAACUCCGUG
This 147-nucleotide ribosomal RNA is filed under the name uncultured soil bacterium. RNAcentral's name for it is "partial 16S ribosomal RNA". It matches the Rfam family "Bacterial small subunit ribosomal RNA", at positions 366 to 507 of the family's 1533-position model. The record is from RNAcentral.